RNAcentral lists this ribosomal RNA (305 nucleotides) under uncultured bacterium. RNAcentral describes it as "bacterial SSU rRNA". It matches the Rfam family "Bacterial small subunit ribosomal RNA", at positions 335 to 633 of the family's 1533-position model. The record is from RNAcentral.
ACCCUACGGGGGGCAGCAGUAGGGAAUUUUCGUCAAUGGGCGCAAGCCUGAACGAGCGAUGCCGCGUGAGUGAAGAAGGCCUUCGGGUCGUAAAGCUCUGUUGCGGGGGAAAAAAGGCAGCAUCAGGAAAUGGGUGCUGACUGAUGGUGCCCCGCCAGAAAGUCACGGCUAACUACGUGCCAGCAGCCGCGGUAAUACGUAGGUGGCGAGCGUUAUCCGGAAUGAUUGGGCGUAAAGGGAGCGUAGCCGGCACCGCAAGUCUGUAGUGAAAUGCCGGGGCCCAACCCCGGAACUGCUUUGGAAAC